UCAGGCGUAACCCAUGCAACUCGAGGGGUAGCAGGAUUAAGCUUGCUUAGUUGAAAAAAACAGGCGCACGGGUGCGUAACGCGUAUGCAACCUACCUUAUACUGGGGUAUAGCCCGGAGAAAUUCGGAUUAAUCCCCCAUAGUACUAAUGAAUCGCAUGGUUUAUUAGUCGAGCGUCAGCGGUAUAAGAUGGGCAUGCGUCCUAUUAGCUAGAUGGUGAGUGACGGCUCACCAUGGCUACGAUAGGUAGGGGCCCUGAGGGGGGGUCCCCCUCUCAGAAAUGGACACGGACCAGACUCCUACGGGAGGCAGCAGUGAGGAAUAUUGGUCAAUGG
Molecule: ribosomal RNA, 334 nt
Filed under: uncultured bacterium
Lineage: Bacteria
Description: partial 16S ribosomal RNA
Rfam family: Bacterial small subunit ribosomal RNA
Source: RNAcentral